This 663-nucleotide ribosomal RNA is filed under the name Salmonella enterica. Its description in RNAcentral is "partial 23S ribosomal RNA". It matches the Rfam family "Bacterial large subunit ribosomal RNA", at positions 334 to 900 of the family's 2925-position model. The record is from RNAcentral. Lineage: Bacteria; Pseudomonadati; Pseudomonadota; Gammaproteobacteria; Enterobacterales; Enterobacteriaceae.
AGCAGCGUCUGGAAAGGCGCGCGAUACAGGGUGACAGCCCCGUACACAAAAGCGCAUGUGCUGUGAGCUCGAUGAGUAGGGCGGGACACGUGGUAUCCUGUCUGAAUAUGGGGGGACCAUCCUCCAAGGCUAAAUACUCCUGACUGACCGAUAGUGAACCAGUACCGUGAGGGAAAGGCGAAAAGAACCCCGGCGAGGGGAGUGAAAAAGAACCUGAAACCGUGUACGUACAAGCAGUGGGAGCCCCACCACCAAAGCAUUCUCUGGUGUUGAAGGCCCUGCAAAGCAGCAUCGCGGUGGCGGAGCGUCGUUUGCGACGCCCAACACACAAAACAAGCGGUGAGUGCUUUGGGGUGGGGUGACUGCGUACCUUUUGUAUAAUGGGUCAGCGACUUAUAUUCUGUAGCAAGGUUAACCGUAUAGGGGAGCCGUAGGGAAACCGAGUCUUAACCGGGCGUUAAGUUGCAGGGUAUAGACCCGAAACCCGGUGAUCUAGCCAUGGGCAGGUUGAAGGUUGGGUAACACUAACUGGAGGACCGAACCGACUAAUGUUGAAAAAUUAGCGGAUGACCUGUGGCUGGGGGUGAAAGGCCAAUCAAACCGGGAGAUAGCUGGUUCUCCCCGAAAGCUAUUUAGGUAGCGCCUCGUGAAUUCAUCUCCGGG